GACGGAGGAAGCUAGCGUUGUCCGGAUUGACUGGGCGUAAAGCGCGUGUAGGCGGGAUCUUAAGUCGGACGUGAAAGCCUCUGGCUCAACCAGAGAAUUGCGUCCGAAACUGAGGUUCUUGAGGGCAGGAGAGGAGAGUGGAAUUGCUGGUGUAGCGGUGAAAUGCGUAGAGAUCAGCAAGAACACCCGUGGCGAAGGCGGCUCUCUGGACUGCUCCUGACGCUGAGACGCGAAAGCCAGGGGAG
Molecule: ribosomal RNA, 245 nt
Filed under: uncultured bacterium
Lineage: Bacteria
Description: partial 16S ribosomal RNA
Rfam family: Bacterial small subunit ribosomal RNA
Source: RNAcentral